GGGCUCUUAGCUCAGCGGUUAGAGCAGGGGACUCAUAAUCCCUUGGUCACAGGUUCGAAUCCUGUAGGGCCCACCA
RNAcentral lists this transfer RNA (76 nucleotides) under Puniceicoccales bacterium. RNAcentral describes it as "tRNA-Ile". It matches the Rfam family "tRNA". From Rfam's summary of the family: Transfer RNA (tRNA) molecules are approximately 80 nucleotides in length. Their secondary structure includes four short double-helical elements and three loops (D, anti-codon, and T loops). The record is from RNAcentral. Lineage: Bacteria; Pseudomonadati; Verrucomicrobiota; Opitutia; Puniceicoccales.